CUGAAAUCUCAUGAGCGCCUGCCUGCUUUUGACAGCACAGAGAGAAUAAAGGGAAUCUCCACAGAGAAUGAAAAAUAGUGACAACAUCUCUAAACACAACAUUGAGACAGUAACCUGAGUAGCCUGUUCCAGUCCUAGCAGCUGUACUUCUCAUGCCACAAGAGACAACCAGGCCAAUCCAAAGUCCAUGUCUGAAUGUCAGUGCCUUUGAAAUGUCUACUGUGCAGAACACAUGAAAAGCACUGCAGGGAGGGUGACGAGACAAAGAGAAAACAGAUCAUGCAAAUAUGAAUCAAGUGAGUACACUAGUGGAAUAUCAAUUAUGACAAAGGAAUAAUGCACACAAGGAGCCCCAAGGCACGAAAGGACCGGGGAAAACCACGUUUAGAGGGAAUCAAUCAUGGGAGCUUCCUGGAGAACAUGCCAGUAAAAUUGUGAAUGUUUAUCAUUAAACGAGUAACACUAACAUUAACCACAAUUAAUCUGAAAGGAACAUAUUUUUGUUCCUUCAGAGCAAAGAAACGAAAAAAGCUUCAGUCAUUUCUUCCUUCCAGACUUUGUUCCUUUAACUGCCAA
RNAcentral lists this long non-coding RNA (576 nucleotides) under Equus caballus (horse). RNAcentral's name for it is "lncRNA (ENSECAG00000042485.2)". The record is from RNAcentral. Lineage: Eukaryota; Metazoa; Chordata; Mammalia; Perissodactyla; Equidae.